GGCGGUGUAGCUCAAUGGCGGAGCAGCGAGCUCAUAACUCGAAGGUCGAAGGUUCGAUUCCUUCCACCGCUACCA
RNAcentral lists this transfer RNA (75 nucleotides) under Planctomycetota bacterium. Its description in RNAcentral is "tRNA-Ile". It matches the Rfam family "tRNA". Rfam says of the family: Transfer RNA (tRNA) molecules are approximately 80 nucleotides in length. Lineage: Bacteria; Pseudomonadati; Planctomycetota. The record is from RNAcentral.